GCAAGUCGAACGCUGAAGCCCAGCUUGCUGGGUGGAUGAGUGGCGAACGGGUGAGUAACACGUGAGUAACCUGCCCCCUUCUUUGGGAUAACGCCCGGAAACGGGUGCUAAUACUGUAUAUUCCCUUAUCUUCGCAUGGGGGUUGGUGGCAAGGUAUUUUCUGGUGGGGGAUGGGCUCGCGGCCUAUCAGCUUGUUGGUGGGGUGAUGGCCUACCAAGGCUUUGACGGGUAGCCGGCCUGAGAGGGUGACC
This 251-nucleotide ribosomal RNA is filed under the name uncultured bacterium. RNAcentral describes it as "partial 16S ribosomal RNA". It matches the Rfam family "Bacterial small subunit ribosomal RNA", at positions 57 to 305 of the family's 1533-position model. The record is from RNAcentral.